Molecule: non-coding RNA, 92 nt
Organism: Aedes albopictus (Asian tiger mosquito)
Lineage: Eukaryota; Metazoa; Arthropoda; Insecta; Diptera; Culicidae
Source: Rfam
UGCCCAGCAACUCCUAUCCCUGCCUCCUCGCGGUACCGGCCGGAACCUAUGAGCAACCUUAGGGAACUUUGGUCGUAGGCUACCAGGGAAGG